This 248-nucleotide ribosomal RNA is filed under the name Cyanobium sp. PCC 9005. RNAcentral's name for it is "partial 16S ribosomal RNA". It matches the Rfam family "Bacterial small subunit ribosomal RNA", at positions 1287 to 1533 of the family's 1533-position model. Lineage: Bacteria; Bacillati; Cyanobacteriota; Cyanophyceae; Synechococcales; Prochlorococcaceae. The record is from RNAcentral.
CUCAGUUCAGAUCGUAGGCUGCAACUCGCCUACGUGAAGGAGGAAUCGCUAGUAAUCGCAGGUCAGCAUACUGCGGUGAAUACGUUCCCGGGCCUUGUACACACCGCCCGUCACACCAUGGAAGUUGGCCACGCCCGAAGCCGUUACUCCAACCCUUGUGGAGGAGGACGUCGAAGGUGGGGCUGAUGACUGGGGUGAAGUCGUAACAAGGUAGCCGUACCGGAAGGUGCGGCUGGAUCACCUCCUAA